RNAcentral lists this long non-coding RNA (2714 nucleotides) under Homo sapiens (human). RNAcentral describes it as "HSALNT0160828". Lineage: Eukaryota; Metazoa; Chordata; Mammalia; Primates; Hominidae. The record is from RNAcentral.
CCUGCUGUCGUCUGGGGCACGGACACCAUCCGUGUCACGUUGUUCCGCUUGACAUCGGCCCUGGAGUCUUCCUAUAGGGGAACAUGAAGACAUCGGUUCAGUUGCCUGUUUCCGCAGCUAUUCCUUGUCACACUCAACGCUGCUUCAGCUGUUCAUGGGACAGCAUAAAAAUACACCUUCCACACUCUGUCUCAGGAUGUUUAACUGCAGUCAGGGAAAGGCUGCAUUUUCAGAAAGACUCUGGCAGGUCUGAACACCCAUUGGCCACACUGGUGCAUGGGGUGCCUGAAAACAGGUGCAAACCCGACUCUUCACCUCCCAGAGUCAGAUUAGAAUUGGAGGCCAGUCUGCUGUUCUAUUAGUGAAUCCUGGGAAGGCCUCUUAGCUUUAAGGGGUGUGUGUGUGUGUGUGUGUAUGUGUGUCCAUUUUUUUUAAUUAAAAAAGUAUUUUAGUUGACACAUUAUUAUGGAUAUGAUUUGAUGUGUUGAUAAAUGCAUCUGUUUCAUGGGGAAGGGGGUGUGGGAAGGAGACGGGACAGGGAGGAUAGGGAGAUGUUGGCCAACAGGUACAAAAUGACAAUCAGAGAGGAGGAAUGAGCUCUGGUUUUCUCCUGCACAGUGGGGUGACUGUUUUCCAAUACUGUAUUGCAUAUUUCAAAAUAGCUAGAAGAGAAGAUUUGAAUGUUCUCACCACAAAGAAAUGAUACAUCUGGGGUGACAGCCAUGCGAACUAUCCUGAUUUGAUCAUUUUACAUCAAGGCCACUUUUGUUGGGACCCGAACCAAGCCCUGAGGUUUGAGACUUGGUCACUGGAAUACCUUGUGCUGGGCAAGUUCCCCGGGGUUCUUCUCAUUUGGUCUUUUCAGUUCUGUCCAAUCCAGAAACUUUUCUUUGAACAAAAUCGUCUCAUUGUGUUCAGUAAGUCUCCCAAAUAUCGCCCAGUCGGGCCGCCCCUGUCCUUUUCUGUAGGGUGGGAAGGGGGUUGGGAGAACAGACAGGAAAAGAACCAAGAUGAAGCCAAGCUUAAACAAAGGAAUCUAAAACACAUGCGGCUGCUGGAAAAAACCUCAAAACCCAUCUUCGGUUGUGAAUCUGGCCUGGGAUGCAGCCACCUCUUAGAGCAACCCCCGCUGCUGCUUGUGCCCUGCUGUGCUACUGCCUCAGUCACUUCCUGCUUGGUCAAGACCACAGCUGCUGAUGUCACAGCUGAGGCACAUCAAAAAGGCUGCCUGAUUCAAAGAAAGCUGCCGGAUAAAUCAUAGAGCACAGACACUUCUACCUCAUGCUCUUAUGGGACUUUAGGAACCAAACAUAAGCACCUAUGGAAAAUGCACGGUGGUCUUGAAAGGCUGUGUGGUCUUUAUCAGAAAAUAUCUGAAUGACUGUCUCUUAUGUCAGUCCUACUCUGCAGGCUUGCUAAGAUGAUAAUUGAAAGGGCUUUUGGUUUCUGCUUUAGAAUCUGUCACUUAUGUUUUGAAGCGUUGUGAGCAAGCGAUGCAGCAGAUUGCAGGGUGAGGGGGAUGAACCUGGGCCAGAAGCCAGAUGUGUUUCUCCACGCACUGCCCUGACCUACAGCCGGAACUGGGCUCAGUGGUUUCAGCCUCAUUUGCUAAGAAGGGCUGGGUAUAAAGACAUAAACAUCAUCUGCUGCCAAAUAAAUCCUGGAAUUCGAGGGCGAUGCUGGGAAGGUAUGAAAUUAGAGGGAGGCAUGUUGCUUUUGCACUUUCAGAUCAAUGGCUGAAUUCCAGACCCGGGGAAGCCUUUCAGAUCCGCAUGUAAUUUGUUUAAACAAUUGCUGUUCAUCUGCCACAGCAGCACUUGGAAUGCCGCAGGGAGGAACUUGCAGCAUUUCUUGCUCACUUCAAGAAAUCAACUAUAACAAACCUCUUCUGGAAGACGACAGCAUCCAUAUUUCUAUAAUAGUUAGAUAAAAGUUAAAGAACUGUUCCUUUUGUGAAUAUUCACAGUCCACUGCAUAUAAUCGUUUAUGAAAACUGAACCCUAUAAAGAGCGAGAGUAGAGGACUGUGGUGAGAACAGAGGGAUCGAAGGGAAUCAGCUCGCUCAGGGAGCCGUCCCAAGGUGGGGGCAGUAGUACCUGCGGAUAAGCGGAUUGCAUUCUCCAGGAUCCAGGGGAUUAAUGUCACAGUUCUCAUAGUCAAAGGUUCCAUUCCAUAAGUGCUUUGCCAGCUGAAAUUCUAUUUUUCGUUGUGCUAACGUGACUUCUUUCCCAUGCCAUACGUAAACUUCACUACCAAAAUCAAACACCAGUACCUGGGAGAAAUGGCACAAAAGAAUUUGUUAACUUCAAGAACAUGCAACAGUUGAAUCAGGUGCAACAGGGUCUCUGUUGACAGUGAGUCAAACGGAGGAAGACAGAAAUCCUAAUGGGGUGACCAGCACAGACACAAAAAGGCCAGGAGAUCUCAGCUGGCACUGCCCCACCGAGCCAGCCUCUGCCCUGUGGGCACGAUUCCUCCUCCCAGUGUCCUAAGUGGCCAGGAUAAUGUUCCCUCCUCUGAACUCUCAACCUGCUUACAACUUGCGAUUCACAAGAGUUCUUUAGGUACAUCUUCCUGUCGACUUCCUGCCUCUCUCCCCUAUUCCUCCCCCUCUCAUGUGCUCGUUCAUUCACUUAAUAUAUACACAGAGGCCACUUCAUAUACCCCAGGCACUCAUGGUCCAAUGGUGUCUUCUCUCCAGUACACAAUUCCAA